Molecule: ribosomal RNA, 253 nt
Filed under: uncultured bacterium
Lineage: Bacteria
Description: partial 16S ribosomal RNA
Rfam family: Bacterial small subunit ribosomal RNA
Source: RNAcentral
UACGGAGGGUGCGAGCGUUGUUCGGAAUCACUGGGCGUAAAGCGCACGUAGGCGGAUCGUUAAGUCGGGGGUGAAAUCCUGGAGCUCAACUCCAGAACUGCCUUCGAUACUGGCGAUCUUGAGUCCGGAAGAGGUGAGUGGAACUCCUAGUGUAGAGGUGGAAUUCGUAGAUAUUAGGAAGAACACCAGUGGCGAAGGCGGCUCACUGGUCCGGUACUGACGCUGAGGUGCGAAAGCGUGGGGAGCAAACAGG